This 459-nucleotide ribosomal RNA is filed under the name uncultured bacterium. Its description in RNAcentral is "partial 16S ribosomal RNA". It matches the Rfam family "Bacterial small subunit ribosomal RNA", at positions 338 to 795 of the family's 1533-position model. The record is from RNAcentral.
CCUACGGGUGGCAGCAGUGAGGAAUAUUGGUCAAUGGGCGCGAGCCUGAACCAGCCAAGUAGCGUGAAGGAUGACUGCCCUACGGGUUGUAAACUUCUUUUGUCGGGGAACAAAGGCGUCCACGGGUGGGCGGAUGAGUGUACCCGAAGAAAAAGCAUCGGCUAACUCCGUGCCAGCAGCCGCGGUAAUACGGAGGAUGCGAGCGUUAUCCGGAUUUAUUGGGUUUAAAGGGUGCGUAGGCGGACAGUCAAGUCAGCGGUAAAAAUGCGGUGCUCAACGCCGUACAGCCGUUGAAACUGGCAGUCUUGAGUGGGCGAGAAGUAUGCGGAAUGCGUGGUGUAGCGGUGAAAUGCAUAGAUAUCACGCAGAACUCCGAUUGCGAAGGCAGCAUACCGGCGCCCUACUGACGCUGAGGCACGAAAGCGUGGGUAUCGAACAGGAUUAGAUACCCGGGUAGUC